Microcebus murinus (gray mouse lemur) is the source of this 254-nucleotide non-coding RNA. The record is from RefSeq and is a predicted model, not a curated record. Lineage: Eukaryota; Metazoa; Chordata; Mammalia; Primates; Cheirogaleidae.
CUUCCAGGCUGUUAAGGCCUUUGUCCGUCGUCGUUGUCAGGACUAAGCGGGGCGCGCCCCUUUGGUACCGAGCGGGCACAGCAAGACCCGGAUCUGCGCCGCUCCACGGCCCAAGGUAGAAAAACUGAAAGAUGUUUCUCUCCUCAUCCCCCUGGAUGCUGUUUGAUGAUUCUACAGGAAGUCAAAAUCUAAUAAAAGCAAAGCAAUUGAUAUAUUUAUGCCUUGCCUUAUGGAAAAAUUUCAUCAACAGGAAG